GGAAACAUGGCAACUAAACUAUCAAAAUGAAAGACAUGAAAUCAAAACAUGAAAGUGAACAAAAAUACAGAAACACGUGACUUGAUUUAUGGAAAUAUACUGAGUUAUCGCAAAAUGUGUAUGGAAUCGUUCUGGAUGCAGGUUCCUCACACACUGCUAUGUACAUCUACAGAUGGCCAGCAGACAAGCUGAACGGCACAGGCGUGGUCACCCAGCACAACGAGUGUCAUGUCAAAGGUUAGGGAACCCAAGGGGCCACUGUUGGUAUGAGAAUUCUGAACUAGGCUGGGGUCAGAGUGCAGGGUCAGCCAUGAUAUGGUGCCCCUGGAGCAGAUAGGGUCAAGGGCCUUGCUCAAGGGCCCAACAGUGGCAUAUUGGCGGUGCUGGGGCUUGAACCCCCGACCUUCUGAUCAGUAACCCAGAGCCUUAACUGCUGAGCCACCACUGUCCCUCCAAUUUACAAUGCAUUCAAGCAUUACCAGCCCUGAGAAAUCAGCGGAGGUUCUUCCAGAAGUAGGACAAAAAAUCAAUUCCUUUCCCUUCAGCUUUCGAGGAGCAGUUGUUUUGAGCGAUAUGUUAUUACUGAUGUAUAUGACUUUCUUUCUCCUGCAGAACACAAC
This is a long non-coding RNA of Myxocyprinus asiaticus (Chinese sucker), 620 nucleotides long. RefSeq lists it as uncharacterized. NCBI's taxonomy places the organism in Eukaryota, Metazoa, Chordata, Actinopteri, Cypriniformes, Catostomidae. The transcript is spliced from 4 exons. The record is from RefSeq and is a predicted model, not a curated record.